CAAUAGCGUAUAUUUAAGUUGCUGCAGUUAAAAAGCUCGUAGUUGGAUUCCGGGUGGGAAUGGCCGGUCCGCCGUUUCGGUGAGCACUUGCUACGCCCACCUUGCUGCCGGGGACGUGCUCUUGAGUUCACGCUCGGGACACGGAGUCGGCGAGGUUACUUUGAGUAAAUUAGAGUGUUCAAAGCAGGCCUACGCUCUGAAUACAUUAGCAUGGAAUAACACGAUAGGACUCUGGCCUAUCUUGUUGGUCUGUAGGACCGGAGUAAUGAUUAAGAGGGACAGUCGGGGGCAUUCGUAUUUCAUUGUCAGAGGUGAAAUUCUUGGAUUUAUGAAAGACGAACUACUGCGAAAGCAUUUGCCAAGGAUGUUUUCAUUAA
Molecule: ribosomal RNA, 377 nt
Filed under: uncultured eukaryote
Lineage: Eukaryota
Description: partial 18S ribosomal RNA
Rfam family: Eukaryotic small subunit ribosomal RNA
Source: RNAcentral